ACGUCUCUCUCCUGCAGGUCUGUCAUGGGCCACUGGUCGACGCCUGUGGCUCUUCUGAUGCUCCUCAUUGGUCAGAUUUCCGCAGAGACGAGCAGCAGCUCAAACGCCUGUCAGGAUCAGAAUGCUCUUCAUGACCGGAUGGAUGUCGUAGAGAAGCGGGUGGAGGACUCUCUUCAGAAGCUGGAGGCGGAGCUGGCUCUUCUGCUGGAUGCUGUGGAGGCCCCUGAGUGGAGCCCCCUGCUGGACAAACCACUAAUUGACAUACUGGACGAGCCGCCGGCUCCUGACUCGUGAGAACAUGAUGAUCAUCAGAAGUGUGGUUGAAUAUGAUCCAGACAUUUCUUCACAAGAUCACAUGCAACAAUAACGGGACAGAGCGGAUCAUUCAGAUUCAUUCUGAUCCUAUAAUGGGUCAAAACAGGGUUUAUUUUUAAGCUUUUCACAGUAAAAAUUUAAUUAAUCAUUUAUACCAUUUUACUGCAUGUCAGUGGUUUAUUCCAGCGUUUGUUUAGAACUGUAUUAUAACUGAUGAUUUAAGGAACCACUGAUGAGAGCUGAUGAUCUUCACUUGAUCAAUCAUUGUAUGCAUGUGAAUGUACAAAAACACAUAACAUUGUUACAGUGUACAUGAUUUUAUCAGGGUUCUUUUUACUUCAUUAAAUCCAGUUUGCCUGUUCAGACUCCCAGCAUGCAUUGCUCAUGUGCGGUCGCUUUUGUUGUUAGUUAGUUUUAGUUUAAUUUGUUUUGUUGUGUUCAGAGUUUGUAUUUUUGUUUUAAUACACUGCAUCUCACUAGUCUCUCUAUGCUAGAAUAACUGUCAUAAAAUCAUUUUCACAUUAUGAACUGACUGAUUCAUGUUGUCAUGAAUAUGCGCUGACUUGGAAUGUGUUAAUAAACUAAAUAAAAAAUAACCGAUUUUUGACAUCCAACCUAAACUGUGUCCCAAUUAAUGUACCAAACACUAUUGAAAUAAAAUAAUAAUCUUUUUUUUGUUUUUUUUUGUUUUCAUCUUAAUGCCCAAGGCUCGAGUUUUUAAAUGUGGGGAAAAAAUUAGGAAAAAUUGUGUCUUAGAUCCUUCUUGAGUAGAAGUCUGAAGUUUUCUCUCUUUUAAAUUUUUUCAAUAAAAUUUUUUUUUUUUUCUCAUUAAAAAAUUUCUCUACUUUUUUAAUCCCUUUUUUCCUAAAAAAAAACUUUUUUUUAUGUCUUGAAAAUGUUUUUAAAGGGAGAAAAAAAUUAAGGGGAGCAUACUUAAGAGAAGUUUUCUAAUAAGAAACUUAAAGGGCAAAAAAUUUGAACAAGUUUUUUGAACAGAAAAGGUUUUAAAGACAAAAAAAUUGGGAGAAAAAAAUUCUGAGGAAGAAAAUCACAAGUUAAACUCACAUCAAAACAUGCUUUGAUACACAUGGAUUUAUUUUUAUUUAUUUUUUUUCACGUUGUGGUCCAGGCCUAAAGUAUUUUUAUAAUAAAGUUUGCACUGAUCUCAUGUACCUGAACAAAUAGGUUCAGAAACUCAAAAGCUGGAAUGACUGACUUUCUGGAGGAUUUGUGGUGAAAUGUGUCUUUCUUCUGUAUGUUUGCGUCGCGUUCAGCAGCAGAUGGUGUGAAUCUGAGCAGAUGGAAGGAGAACAUGUUUAUAUAGAAGCAGGAAACACAAACACCUUGUUGCUUUGCUGACAUUUUCAACCUCAUAUGAUCGAGACACACACACACUUCAGUUUAACUAAUAAAUACACACACACAAACACAAUUUCCAUACAGUAAAAAAAAAUAAAAAAUAAAAAAAAUAAUACAACUAAUCAAUAAAAAUUAUUUUAGUAAAAUAACACUGGAUGUAACUUUAAAGUGUUAUGGAUAAAUUUGCAAUGUAAAAAUCUGAACAAAAAACAUGUUAAAUAUAUACAGUAUAUGUUUUUUAUAAAUAUUUUUUUAAAUAAAUAAAUAUAUUGUAUUUUCAAAAUAUAUAUUUGAAAAUAUAUUUAUAAAAAAAAAUAAACCAUUAUGUAUUUGAUUGGUGGAGAAAUAAGAGGCACAAGAACAUAUUCAUUCUUUAUUCAUAUUUUAAUGAUCGUCAAAAUCUAUGGGUUGCCAAAAUAUUCAAGAGUAUCUAUGUAUACGUACAGUAUCAUGCCGUCCACAUUACAAUGGAAAACUAGGUUAAAGUCAGAAGUCAUGUGAUGUGAAACCAGAUUGAGCAUUCACACCACAGACUGACUUCAGAUUAAACAUUCCAGGAGUUCACUUACUACAAUAAAUGCUUCUUUACAAAUGUUCUUGUGUUUCUAUGAGCUUUACGCGCUAAACACACACACACACACACACACACACACACACGCACACGCAGGCACUCGUUUAGAUUAGAAAUGGCUAUGCAAAUGGUACAAAAGCUUUGGCGUUUUUGCCCACAAGUUGUGCCUGCACACUUGAGAGAGAUUUUAAACAAGACGUUGCUUCAUAAAACCUCUCAGUAUCGUAUCGUCUAUAUUUAAACUCGCUAAUGUCAGCACAUCCACAUAAAACUGUGGAAAAUACUCAGGCUUUUCACUAUGUACAUGUUUACAUGAUGAAGCGGUGAGUUUACGGUAGUGAUUCGCUACACGUGUGCCGACGUCACUUACUGAAUUAAUGCUACGCUAAAGACACACACACGCACACACACACACACACACGUACACACACGCACACACACACACACACACAGAGAGAGAGAGAGAGCUAUAAAUCAAUCUUAAUCUGGCGUCCUAUAGAGAUUCAUAAGCAGCAGAGAUGAAGGAUCGGCGUCUCAUCAAACCUUCACUGCGUUUAAGAGUCUAACAGUCAGAAAAGAGUUUGGCAACAUGUGAGAGCAGGGCAGGAAGGGUUAAAGCAGCGACAAACAGAGAGAAAUAUACUAUCAUCAUCAUCAUCAUCAUCCUGGCUAAUAGCGUGCCCUUAAACACGCCAAAAUUAAAGAUUGUGUCUAUCUUACACUACCACUCAAAAUAAUUAUUUUCUGUUCGUGCAUUUAUUUGAUCAAAAAUGCAGUAAAAAUUGUGAAAUAUUAUUCUAGUGUAAAUCAUCUGUUUUCUGUGUGAAUCUGUGUUAAAGUGUAAUGUAUUUCUGUGAUGCACAGCUGUAUUUUCAGCAUCAUUCCUCUUCAGUGUCACAUGAGUUUAAAAUAAAUCAAAGUUCAGAAGAACAGCAUUUAUUUGAAAUAGAACAUCUUUAUAAUGCCACUUUUGAUCAAUGUUACGCAUCCUUGAUGAAAGAAAGGAUUAAUAUCUUUAAAAACAUUUUUUUUUGAAUGAUAGUGUAUCAUAGUUUCCACAGAAAUAUCGAGCAGCACAACUGUGUUCAACAUUAAUAAUAAUCAGAAAUGUUUCUUGAGCAGUAAAUCAUCAUAUUAUUCUGAUUUCUGAAGAUCAUGUGACACUGAAGACUGGAGGAAUGAUGCUGAAAAUACAGCGGAGCAUCACAGAAAUACAUUACACUUUAACACAGAUUCACACAGAAAACAGAUGUUUUACAUUAAAGUAAUAUUUCAAUAUUUUUUUACUGUAUUUUUGAUCAAAUAAAUGCAGCACUGGUUAGCACGGAUGUCACUGCAGAAAUGGUCAUGUGAUGUCCUCAUGUACAAUUAAACCGAUUCAUCUCACUGUAAACAGAUCAGUCCAAGGAAAACAAAACAAACGACUCUCUAGAUCUGAUUCGACAGAGGAUUUUCUGCUUUAAAGUGCUGGAGGAAGUCAAACAUCUCAAACAACACCCACAACUUAAUCUUGAUCCAUUUUACAGAAAACAAGACUUCAUAUCUGAUAUAUUUUUGCUUCUCCAAAUUUAUCUUGAUUUACGAAUCGUCUGACAUUUGUAUUGGAAAACAACACACAAAAAUAAAUACCCCAUAAACAAUCCAUGAAAUACUUCUUAGAGGAAGAACAGCAUCUGCUUCAUUUCUAAUACUUAAGUUAAUACUUUAAGAUCAUAUAUUUUUAAUAACAAAUAUUAGUCCAGCAAUCUGACUUCGAGCAGCACAUGAAAGCAGGAAACUCUGUCCUGAACUCAAGAGGCACCAGAUGCUUCCAUGAUCCAUAAGAAGUCACACAUGUAAACAUACAAACACAAUUAAGUCAGUUAUCAGUUGCUCAUCAAGCAGCUUGAUGUGUGUGGAUUCAUCAUGAAGAUCUCCAUCGUCUGGCGGGUUUCAUGUGGCGUCGUCAUACUCAAGCGAACAGUCUUACAUUGUAGAAUUGCCUCUAAAUCUCUAUUUUACAUCAUGCUGAAGAGUUACGUUG
This is a long non-coding RNA of Carassius auratus (goldfish), 4268 nucleotides long. The record is from Ensembl. NCBI's taxonomy places the organism in Eukaryota, Metazoa, Chordata, Actinopteri, Cypriniformes, Cyprinidae.